This 592-nucleotide ribosomal RNA is filed under the name Aspergillus sp. SC6. RNAcentral's name for it is "partial 18S ribosomal RNA". The stretch from base 244 to 397 matches the Rfam family "5.8S ribosomal RNA". The record is from RNAcentral. Lineage: Eukaryota; Fungi; Ascomycota; Eurotiomycetes; Eurotiales; Aspergillaceae.
GGGAAGUUAAAAAUCGUAACAAGGUUUCCGUAGGUGAACCUGCGGAAGGAUCAUUACCGAGUGCGGGUCCUCGUGGCCCAACCUCCCACCCGUGACUAUUGUACCUUGUUGCUUCGGCGGGCCCGCCAGCUUGCUGGCCGCCGGGGGGCGUCUCGCCCCCGGGCCCGUGCCCGCCGGAGACCCCAACAUGAACCCUGUUCUGAAAGCUUGCAGUCUGAGUUGUGAUUCUUUGCAAUCAGUUAAAACUUUCAACAAUGGAUCUCUUGGUUCCGGCAUCGAUGAAGAACGCAGCGAAAUGCGAUAACUAAUGUGAAUUGCAGAAUUCAGUGAAUCAUCGAGUCUUUGAACGCACAUUGCGCCCCCUGGUAUUCCGGGGGGCAUGCCUGUCCGAGCGUCAUUGCUGCCCUCAAGCCCGGCUUGUGUGUUGGGUCCUCGUCCCCCGGCUCCCGGGGGACGGGCCCGAAAGGCAGCGGCGGCACCGCGUCCGGUCCUCGAGCGUAUGGGGCUUUGUCUUCCGCUCUGUAGGCCCGGCCGGCGCCCGCCGACGCAUUUUUUUGCAACUUGUUUUUUUCCAGGUUGACCUCGGAUCAGG